GGAUGGAAACAAGACAGAAGACAGAGUGAGACCAGAGGUAAGGGAAGGAAACAAGAGAGGAUAGGAAGGAAACAAGAGAGGCUAGGAGGAGACAAGGAAGUAGGGAUGGAAUCAAGACAGAAGAUAGAGUGAGACCAGAGGUAGGGAAAGGAAACGAGAGAGGAUAGGAGGAGACAAGAGCAUAGGUAAGGAGACAAGAGAGGAUAGGAAGGAAACAAGAGAGGCUAGGAGGAGACAAGAGCAUAGGGAAGGAAACAAGAGAGGAUAGGAGGAGACAAGGAAGUAGGGAAACAAGAUAGAAGACAGAGUGACCAGAGGUAAGGAAAGGAAACAAGAGAGGAUAGGAGGAGACAAAUGAGUAGGGAAGGAAACAAAGGAAAAGAUAAGGAAACAAGAAGGCAUAGGAGGAGAGAUGGCAGUAUCUUAGGAAACAAGACAGAUAGGAAUGGUUCAAGGAGUCAAGGGAGAAGAGAAGGAAACAAGAGAGGAUUAAAAUGAAAAGGAACCAACAGGAAAGAUAAGGAAUCGAGGACAGGAGGAGACAAGAGAGUAGGGAAGGAAGGAAAAAAGACAGAUAUGAAGGGUUCAAAGAUCAAAGGGGGAAGGAAAGGAAUCAAGACAGAAGAAAAAGGAUGUAAGGAAUCAAUAAAGGAAACAAAAAUGGUGCAAAGUUUAGUGAGGAGAAGUCAAGGGAGCAAAUGAGGAAAGAGGAGACAAGAGGAGAGAGAACAAGAGAGGGGAAAGGAAGCAAGGUAGGAAAAAGGAAACAAGUCAGAAAAAAAAGGGGAGAGAAGGAAACGAGACAAGAGGAAAGGAGGCAAGGAGGGAAGCAGGAUGGGGUUAAAGGAAAAAGGAAAGGUUCAGGACUCUGUGAGAGACUGCGUUAGCGAACAAAGUUCCAGAGUUUCCUCGUCUCCAGAACUUCAUAUCAUUCAGAAUCUCUGGACUCAAAGGGACCAGAACCAAAACCAGGACUGGACGGUCCUGAUCUUCAGGCCCUCAGGCGGCGCCGCAUUAAAAACAGAGCGGACCCGAGCGCCUGCAGCAGGUCAGGACGGGGGCGGAGAUACUCCUAAGUUAAAAUCGUACCAAAUGGUCGCCCAUCUGUGAGCCGAGGAAGAUCGCUCAAAGGUGAUCUGGCUCGGUACCGAAGACUCUGAAUCUAGAUGACCCUCGGUCCGAGUCCUUCACUUCGACCCCGUCACUUUAUUCAGGAUCAGGGCCUGGAGGUCCAUCCAAGUCCAUCCAAUCAUCAAAGUUUUAAAGUAUCCUUAAACCCGGGGGGGAAACCCUGAACGAAGACCCGCUUUAACUCCACAGACGGACAGAGGAGGUGAAAUUAUAAUAAUAAUAAUAAUAAUAAUAAUAAUAAUAAUAAAGUGUUUAUUUAUUUUAAUUCUGUCAGAAAACAAAGUUACAGACUGACUGUAGUUUAUUACCGUAUUCACUCGAGUAGAAGGCCAUCUGUUUUUUCCUGUAAACUGUGUGAACCUCUUAUAUUUGGAGUUUAGACCCUCUGAUAUCGACAACAUUAGAAUUUACAUUAAAAUCAGAGCAGAACCAGAAUAUUCAGGUUUACAGUCAAAUCCACUCAGUCUGUGAGACCGGAGGUUUUCAGGACAGAAACUUUAACGUAUUUUUACAGACUGAUCGUGUCUCUCAGAGUCAGACUGUUAGUUCUGUUGUUCAAUCGGCACAGGCUAAUACUUUGUCGUGUUCUGUUGGCCAAUCAGGGACUAGAGCUACGAUCAGCUGACCGAGGAGAUCCAAUAAGAAGCUGGACCUGAUGUAUGUGGAUCAAAACACUCAAUAAUAAACUGACGUCACUUUUGUGGAUUUAAAGUUCUGAGUCGAGUUUAUCGUAGUUUGGCGAUAUAUCGGAGAAACUUUGACAGUAUUGAUGAACUCUCAAGACGAUUAAGGACUUCUCUGUAGUUUUAUAGUUUUCUAUCUCUGUUUAGGUCUGAGUGUAGAAAUCUAGUCAAAGUUUUCUCCUUGUGUUUAUGAUUAGACAUACAAAUCUAGUUGUAGUUUUCUACGUCUGGUGUAGAAAGCUAGUUGUAGUUUUUUACGUAUGUAAAAAACUACAACUAGCUCAGCAGCAUUGCAUUGUGGGAUAAUAUACUCAAAGUGCAGGAGCUUCAUUGUAGUUUAUUUUCUAUAUUUAAUUGUCCUUAAACUUUACAAAGUAAAUUAUAUUCACUAAAUUGUAAUAAUAAAAUAAAUAAUAAAUUUUAAUUAUAACGCACUUUUACAAGAGCUCAAAAACGCCAUACAAAGAAAAUAAAAAAAUAAAAUAAAAUAAAAAACAAAAAAAAUACAGAAAAUUUCUGGAAAUAAAACCAACAAUGAAAAAGGUUAAAAAAGAUUCAAUAUGAAAAGACAAUAAAAGUUUACAGGUUUCAAAAACAAUUUAAAAAGGUGUUUUUAGGAGUGAUUUGAGAGUACGGUGGUCUGUACAGUCUCCGGUGGGUUUGAUUGUACCGACUAUACUUAAAAAAAAGACGUUUGUUUUUGUUUCUUUGGUGUAAAAUAAAUCAGUCUGAGCUGAUACAGAUCAUUUUAAUCUGAAACCCUGUAAAUGUGACGACACCGAAAACUUGAUUUAAGUUUCUGCCACAAACCUGAAAAAUGAAGAACGAGAGGAAUUUAGAGAAAAGGUGUUAAAGAGUGAAAAUAAUGCAGACGAGAAAUCAGAGUCACUGAUGGUUGGAAUAACGACUUUAAAGAUACGUGAAGGUAAUGAGUCUUUUAAUUUAAUGACCCGUCUGUUCAAAAUGGACUUUCAGGGUCGGCUCUUUUUUCUCUGUUUGAGUGUUUUUAUCUUUACUGUCGGACAAACCUGAAAACACCUGAAAACACCUGAAAACACCUGAAAACACCUGAAAACUCCUGAAAACUCCUGAAAACAUCUUUUUGUUUUUCUCUGUCAGCUGAUCCAGAUCCUGUAAAAACUCUGAACCAAACCUCUGAGUCUGUUCGGACUCAGGUGAGGAUGAAGGUUCCUGUAAGUCCUGACUGACCGACCCGUCACUCAUCGGCCUCUAGAGGGCAGUAGGUGUCCAGGACCUUCGUGUGUGUGUGUGUGUGUGUGUGUGUGUUUGGGCCUCUGCUUUCACACACACAGAGAAACCCUG
This 3137-nucleotide long non-coding RNA is filed under the name Xyrichtys novacula (pearly razorfish). Lineage: Eukaryota; Metazoa; Chordata; Actinopteri; Labriformes; Labridae. The record is from RNAcentral.